This 799-nucleotide ribosomal RNA is filed under the name uncultured Glomeromycotina. RNAcentral's name for it is "SSU rRNA". It matches the Rfam family "Eukaryotic small subunit ribosomal RNA", at positions 314 to 1114 of the family's 1831-position model. Lineage: Eukaryota; Fungi; Glomeromycota. The record is from RNAcentral.
AUCAACUUUCGAUGGUAGGAUAGAGGCCUACCAUGGUGGUAACGGGUAACGGGGUGUUAGGGCACGACACCGGAGAGGGAGCCUGAGAAACGGCUACCACAUCCAAGGAAGGCAGCAGGCGCGCAAAUUACCCAGUCCCGACAUGGGGAGGUAGUGACAAUAAAUAACAAUACAGGGUUCUUUUGGAUCUUGUAAUUGGAAUGAGUACAAUUUAAAUCUCUUAACGAGGAACAAUUGGAGGGCAAGUCUGGUGCCAGCAGCCGCGGUAAUUCCAGCUCCAAUAGCGUAUAUUAAAGUUGUUGCAGUUAAAAAGCUCGUAGUUGAAUUUCGGGAUCAAAGAAUCGGUCAUGCCUUGGUAUGUACUGGUUUUAUUGGUUCUCACCUUCUAAAGAACCAUAAUGUCAUUUAUUUGAUGUUAUGGGGAAUUAGGACUGUUACCUUGAAAAAAUUAGAGUGUUUAAAGCAAGCUUACGCUUGAAUACAUUAGCAUGGAAUAAUCGAAUAGGACGGCAUGGUUCUAUUUUGUUGGUUUCUAGGAUCACCGUAAUGAUUAAUAGGGAUAGUUGGGGGCAUUAGUAUUCAAUUGUCAGAGGUGAAAUUCUUGGAUUUAUUGAAGACUAACUACUGCGAAAGCAUUUGCCAAGGAUGUUUUCAUUAAUCAAGAACGAAAGUUAGGGGAUCGAAGACGAUCAGAUACCGUCGUAGUCUUAACCAUAAACUAUGCCGACUAGGAAUCAGACGAUGUUAAUUUUUUAAUGACUCGUUUGGCACCUUACGGGAAACCAAAGUGUUUGGGUCC